GAUUCCCCAUUUCUUUGCAUGCCUCGACUUCUUCUCUGAUUCUUCUAGCAGCCUCAAGUUCUUUUUGUUUGUCCUCUUCCUUCCACUUGAGCUCGAGCUCCAUAUUGUUGCAUUUAGACUACAACUCAUAUGCUCUUUGCUUGUACCAUUUCGUUUUACAUUUUGCCUUGGCUAGAGCCUCUCAAUACUCGUCCAUAUUUUGUUGCACUUCUUGCAAAUGCGAGACUUAUUCUUUCAAAUGGGGGACUUGAUCUU
RNAcentral lists this long non-coding RNA (255 nucleotides) under Lupinus angustifolius (narrow-leaved blue lupine). Its description in RNAcentral is "long non-coding RNA (LANG_LNC002796)". Lineage: Eukaryota; Viridiplantae; Streptophyta; Magnoliopsida; Fabales; Fabaceae. The record is from RNAcentral.